RNAcentral lists this small RNA (77 nucleotides) under Xanthomonas campestris pv. pennamericanum. Its description in RNAcentral is "sX9 sRNA". It matches the Rfam family "Xanthomonas sRNA sX9". The record is from RNAcentral. Lineage: Bacteria; Pseudomonadati; Pseudomonadota; Gammaproteobacteria; Lysobacterales; Lysobacteraceae.
AUGUACCACGCGUACACUGCGGUUCUGAGCGCGCCGUCCGCACCCACCUGACGACUGCUCGCUACGUUUUGUUAGCC